ACUCCUACGGGAGGCAGCAGUGAGGAAUAUUGGACAAUGGGCGGGAGCCUGAUCCAGCCAUGCCGCGUGCAGGAAGACUGCCCUAUGGGUUGUAAACUGCUUUUGUACAGGGAAGAAACGACUUCCCCAUCGUGAGGGGAGCUUUGUACGGGUACUGUAAAGAAUAAGGAUCGGCUAACGUCCGUGCCAGCAGCCGCGGUAAUACGGAGGGAUCCAAGCGUUAUCCGGAAUCAUUGGGUUUAAAAGGGUCCGUAGGUGGAUGAUUAAGUCAGAGGUGAAAUCCUGCA
This 287-nucleotide ribosomal RNA is filed under the name uncultured bacterium. RNAcentral describes it as "partial 16S ribosomal RNA". It matches the Rfam family "Bacterial small subunit ribosomal RNA", at positions 335 to 606 of the family's 1533-position model. The record is from RNAcentral.